Molecule: ribosomal RNA, 253 nt
Filed under: uncultured bacterium
Lineage: Bacteria
Description: partial 16S ribosomal RNA
Rfam family: Bacterial small subunit ribosomal RNA
Source: RNAcentral
UACGUAGGGUGCGAGCGUUGUCCGGAAUUACUGGGCGUAAAGAGCUCGUAGGUGGUUUGUCGCGUUGUUCGUGAAAACUCACAGCUUAACUGUGGGCGUGCGGGCGAUACGGGCAGACUGGAGUACUGCAGGGGAGACUGGAAUUCCUGGUGUAGCGGUGGAAUGCGCAGAUAUCAGGAGGAACACCGGUGGCGAAGGCGGGUCUCUGGGCAGUAACUGACGCUGAGGAGCGAAAGCGUGGGGAACGAACAGG